GUGAUGCAUUAUACUAUGGUGACAAAAAGCGCCCUCGCAGCUUGAAUGGUCUGGGCUGUGGCUCUAGGUUGGUGUAUCUGGUGCCUUUGCCAUGACCAAGAGUAAUAACCAGGUAUGACCCUUCGCUGGGCCAGCCUGAGCAGUAACAGGUGUGGGCUUCUAAUAGCAGCUUGAUGCCCAUGUAUAAUACUGCACACAGUUCUAUGUAGGAUCUGGGAAUUAUUUAUGCAGGCUGGAGCAAGGGGAAAAAUCGGUGCCCAAAGUGAUUGCUUAUUUUAUUGUAUGGUUAAUGAAUCUUACAUGCUUUUCUUUCAUUUGCAGCUGUUUACGUCCAUUGUGACACCUACGUGACAUUAUGUGGCCCCUUUGCCUGAUGGUGAGAUCAAUCUAUCCUAGGUGAAUUUCUGGUUAUGGAAAUUUCUAACCUCUACCAGUUUUGCAAUCAAAGGACUGCUUCAUAAGGAGGAUAUAUCUAGGAGGCUCUCUAUUGCUGAAGACGCAUGCUUGUACAUAAUCUUCUUUGGAAUGUUCAGAGCUGCAAGUUGGCAGGAGUGACAUUGGCCAAUAAAGAUGGAUGUAGUCCAGCAUCUGGAUGAAGCUGGGUAGAAGAUAUGGCUAAGGAUGCCUGAUCAUUAAAGUAAAGGUAACAAAGGAGCUGUCUCGGAUACUUGCCUUUGAUCUGAAGCUGUGCCUCAUUUUCAGCCCUCUGAUGUUUGCAACCUGAAGACUUGUAUUGUAAAAUGACCCUGCAUCACAACAGUGCCCUAUAUUCACAAAUUCCAGUGCAGUGUGAUGCAAUGAGGAAUGCCCAGCCUAAUAAUUUGCAAGGGUGUGAAAUGUGUAGACUGCUGUUGCACUUUAGAGUAAAUAUUAAAGAAUUUUUCUUAAGUAUUUCUAA
Rana temporaria (common frog) is the source of this 898-nucleotide long non-coding RNA. RefSeq lists it as uncharacterized. The record is from RefSeq and is a predicted model, not a curated record. The transcript is spliced from 4 exons. NCBI's taxonomy places the organism in Eukaryota, Metazoa, Chordata, Amphibia, Anura, Ranidae.